GGAGGUGGAGGGAAGCCGGAGACCGCGCAGGCGCACUCCGGCCGGGCCGACGAAACCAGCAACUCGACUCCACUCCAGGGGCCGCCUGCGAAGGGCGCAUGCGAUGCUUCUCUGCCCCCUUUCCCUUCCGGCCGGGGAAGGGAAGUGGGUGCGAAGCGAAAGUGGUCCGCCUUUCCGGGUUUUUCCGACGGCCGCGGGAGCCUUAGAAAAGGAGUGGGAUGGCGUGGGAGGAGCGGGUGUAACUCCUGGGAGCCGCACACUAGUGCUUUAGUGCCGCCACUCGCCCUGUGGAGCCACCAAAGCAGCUAAUUCAUCUGGAAUGCCGGCGCGGUGAUGUACCUCGCGACCUCUAACCUCUCCCAGGAUUGCACGCCGGGUGCGUUCCACGCAUGCUCAGUCUUUCUGGGCCGUUCCUGGAGCUGGCUCUCCGGCUGACUGUUGACAGAACUGUCUCGAGUUCCGGUGCCCAGACAAGUGCAGGAGAGGCAGCUCCUCCGAGGAAAGGGGAGCCGGAGCUGGAAGACCCUCCCUGUCGUGGGGAGUGGGGCCGUCCAGCUGCCCCCCCCUUUUUUCGCAUGUCGGUCCCGCGCGAAAGCCCCCGAAAAAGCGCCAAGUGCCAUGGUCCCUGGACCCUCACCCCUCCCCGCCGCGGUGGCCUGUGUCCAGGUGUCCCAGGCGCGUGUCAUUGGGCAGCAGAUGGAGCUGCAGCUACAGUCCGCCAGCAAAGUAGGGUUGUAAACAUCUCACAAGUAGCAACAGCCCCAUUGAUGAGGAAACUAAAGCUCAGAGGGCUUGUGACCAGCCUUAGGUCACCUACCUGCGAAGUGGAGAAGCCAGGACCGUUGGGGUUCUCUGAUUCCAGACUGUGCCUUUAACCAGUGGACUCUACCGCCCCCUAGUGGAUCCCCUGGUCUUGCGUUGUCUCACUGAUAACCUGGUCCUCAGAAUGUCCUGCUUCCGCCUGGACUCCGUUCCCCUGGGCUGCGAAGAAGGUGCAGAUUUUGGUCUGGAAAUAACAGGUGACUUGCUGCCAUUCAUUGUAUUUGUUCUUUCCCAAGGUUUUCUUGUUAGUUCAGGUGUUCAGGUACUUGUUCAGGUUGUUCAGAUUGUUCAGGUACUUGUUGAAGAGGCCUUAGAAGUUACAGGCUCUGAAUCUUCAUUUUUGUCCUCUUUUUGUUCUGUUUCUAUUGUUUAUCCUUUUUCAGCAGUUCUUCUCCUCCUGGCCAGCAGGGCACUCAUUUCUUGCAUUAAACCACUACCCCUUAAAGGAAGGGGUCCCUUUCCUUAUCUGUUUUAGAUAAGGCCGAAUUCACACCAAUGAAUUGGGAAAGAGGCAUCCUCCAUUCAUGACACUUUACGAAGUUUUGCUCCAGCAAUUGCAGCUGCAAGUCCAGUUAAAGGGCGGUUGUCUUCAGAUGUGGAUCCCGAAAAAAAUCCAGAUGCAGGGAGGGGAGGGGCAGGUGGUGGAG
This is an RNA transcript of Delphinapterus leucas (beluga whale), 1469 nucleotides long. RefSeq lists it as uncharacterized. The record is from RefSeq and is a predicted model, not a curated record. NCBI's taxonomy places the organism in Eukaryota, Metazoa, Chordata, Mammalia, Artiodactyla, Monodontidae.